UACGGAAGGCAGCAGUGGGGAAUAUUGCACAAUGGGCGCAAGCCUGAUGCAGCCAUGCCGCGUGUAUGAAAAAGGCCUUCGGGUUGUAAAGUACUUUCAGUCGUGAGGAAGGUGUUAAGGUUAAUAACCUUAGCAAUUGACGUUAGCGACAGAAGAAGCACCGGCUAACUCCGUGCCAGCAGCCGCGGUAAUACGGAGGGUGCGAGCGUUAAUCGGAAUUACUGGGCGUAAAGGGCACGCAGGCGGUUAAUUAAGUUGGAUGUGAAAUCCCCGGGCUUAACCUGGGAAUGGCAUUCAAGACUGGUUAGCUAGAGUCUUGUAGAGGGGGUAGAAUUCCGAUGUGUAGCGGUGAAAUGCGUAGAGAUGUGGAGGAAUACCGGUGGCGAAGGCGGCCCCUGGGACAAAGGCUGACGCUCAUGUGCGAAAGCGUGGGGAGCAAACAGGGAUUAGAUACC
Molecule: ribosomal RNA, 455 nt
Filed under: uncultured bacterium
Lineage: Bacteria
Description: bacterial SSU rRNA
Rfam family: Bacterial small subunit ribosomal RNA
Source: RNAcentral